RNAcentral lists this ribosomal RNA (89 nucleotides) under Clostridium gasigenes. Lineage: Bacteria; Bacillati; Bacillota; Clostridia; Eubacteriales; Clostridiaceae. The record is from RNAcentral.
UCCUUUCCAUUCCGAACAGGAAAGUUAAGCUCUACAGCGCUAAUGGUACUGCACGGGCAGCUGUGUGGGAGAGUAGGACGUCGCCAGGU